Molecule: ribosomal RNA, 440 nt
Filed under: uncultured bacterium
Lineage: Bacteria
Description: partial 16S ribosomal RNA
Rfam family: Bacterial small subunit ribosomal RNA
Source: RNAcentral
CCUACGGGCGGCAGCAGUGGGGGAUAUUGCACAAUGGGGGGAACCCUGAUGCAGCGACGCCGCGUGGGUGAAGAAGCGCCUCGGCGCGUAAAGCCUUUUUAGCAGGGAAGCAAAUGACGGUACCUGAAGAAGAAGCCCCGGCUAAAUACGUGCCAGCAGCCGCGGUAAUACGUAGGGGGCAAGCGUUAUUCGGAUUUACUGGGUGUAAAGGGUGCGUUGACGGAGAAGCAAGUUACUUGUGAAGUCCCUCGGGUUAACUGAGGAACUGCAACUGAAACUACUUCCCUUGAGUGGUGGAGAGGAAAGUGGAAUUCCUGGUGUAGCGGUGAAAUGCGUAGAUAUUAGGCAGAACACCAGUGGCGAAGGCGACUUUCUGGACAGUAACUGACGUUGAGGCACGAAAGUGUGGGGAGCGAACAGGAUUAGAUACCCUGGUAGUC